CGGAGGGAUCAUUAAAGAGUUCUAUAACUCCCAAACCCAUGUGAACAUACCUAACGUUGCCUCGGCAGGUCGCACCUACCUUGUAGCACCCUACCCUGUAGGGCCUACCCGGGAGGUGCGGGUAAGCCUGCCGGCGGCCCACCAAACUCUGUUUGAUAUUGAAUUCUGAACCUAUAACUAAAUAAGUUAAAACUUUCAACAACGGAUCUCUUGGUUCUGGCAUCGAUGAAGAACGCAGCGAAAUGCGAUAAGUAAUGUGAAUUGCAGAAUUCAGUGAAUCAUCGAAUCUUUGAACGCAUAUUGCGCCCAUUAGUAUUCUAGUGGGCAGGACCGUUCGAGCGUCAUUUCAACCCUUAAGCCUUCGUUGCUUAGUGUUGGGAGCCUACGGCAACGUAGCUCCUCAAAGUUAGUGGCGGAGUUGGUUCACACUCUAGACGUAGUAAUUUUUUAUCUCGCCUAUUAGUUGGACUAAUCCCCUGCCGUAAAACCCCUAAUUUAUCAAGGUUGACCUCGAAUCGGUUCAGACAAACUCGCU
RNAcentral lists this ribosomal RNA (535 nucleotides) under fungal endophyte. Its description in RNAcentral is "eukaryotic LSU rRNA". The stretch from base 191 to 344 matches the Rfam family "5.8S ribosomal RNA". Lineage: Eukaryota; Fungi. The record is from RNAcentral.